This 1304-nucleotide long non-coding RNA is filed under the name Mus musculus (house mouse). RNAcentral's name for it is "long noncoding RNA near Ppara". The stretch from base 1106 to 1190 matches the Rfam family "let-7 microRNA precursor family". The record is from RNAcentral. Lineage: Eukaryota; Metazoa; Chordata; Mammalia; Rodentia; Muridae.
AGAGGCACGGAGGACGUGGCUGGGCGCCCCGGGCACGAGCAGGACCCGAGGCCAGGGGCCAGGGGCCCAGAAGAACCUGGAUGCUCCUAAGGACCCCCCAGGAAAGCACCGGCUUCUUCUUGACAACUUCCCUGGGUGACUCUUAGAACUCAAUGGCCACGUCCAGCUCAGAGAUCAGAAGCAGCGCGCGUCCCAGAGCGCUACCAUAAUGAUGCCGUCCAGGUCCACAGUACAACCGGCUGCCUUGGUCAUUGCCGUAAUGACAGUACAUUCCAACUUCUCAAGGUGGUCAGGAAGUGGAACCAAGCAGGAAGUUCUGCAUGCCUAUGGCUUCCCUGUGGAGGGACCUCAAGAAGCCACAACAUCCAGCUCUACGCCAAGACUGACUGACGGCCUUUGGGGUGAGGUAGUAGGUUGUAUGGUUUUGGGCUCUGCCCCGCUCUGCGGUAACUAUACAAUCUACUGUCUUUCCUGAAGUGGCCGCAAUAUCUGCAGUGGAUACAACGGCGGCCCUGGCUGGGGAGACUGAGGGAGGGACAGGGGGGUGAUAACUACCAUGCAAAAAGAGCCUGACAGAGACCUUGGAUAGUCCCUUGACCUCUCUGGGCUGUUACUCAUCUGUAUAAGGGUUGGGGCAUAGCGAUGAAAACAGACAGCAUUUUCAGGGCACCUUCUCUCCCUGGCCCACACUGAAGGGGCCUUCCUGCCCCUGGCCCCAUAUCAGACCUGUGCUCACAGGUCUCCAUGAAAAGAGGGUCUGGACUAGACCUUCAACUAUGUUCCAGAGUUGCCCAGGCUUUCCAGCGCAGGGUCAGGCCUCUGACGAGCAAGCGUCUCUUCCGAGAAGAAAUUGAAAAGGAGCCAUUCUUAGCACACCCAUGAGUACAGCCUGCAGAUGGACCGUGUAGGCCACUGUCCCCUGUCCCUGGGGCAAUGGGUUCAGACACCAGAGGCUUCCUCAAUCUGUUUGGUAGGCACAGGCCUUUCUCACUGAACCUCUGUCUCCACUUCCCCCUCCCCCACCCCGCCCUGUGCCCUAUGGCUCUAGUGGCCUGUGGCCAGGGUGGGUGGGGAGCGGCUGGGCCUCCUCCAGAACACGGACACCGCAGGGUGAGGUAGUAGGUUGUGUGGUUUCAGGGCAGUGAUGUUGCCCCUCCGAAGAUAACUAUACAACCUACUGCCUUCCCUGAGGCGCCCAGGGACACAGCUACAUGGAGGCCCCCGCUCAGCAAGCUAAAUGGAGCCACAGAUUGGGUGGGGGCUAUGACGUGGGACCUGGGUAUAAAUAAAGGAUGUUCUGUCAU